CUUGUCGGAGUGCCCUUAGGGGCUGAGAUCGUCUAUGACGGGAUCCGUACACCUGAUCAGGUUCAUGCCUGCGUAGGGAACAAGA
RNAcentral lists this non-coding RNA (85 nucleotides) under chicken gut metagenome. RNAcentral describes it as "TPP riboswitch (THI element)". It matches the Rfam family "TPP riboswitch aptamer (THI element)", at positions 6 to 94 of the family's 105-position model. Rfam says of the family: Vitamin B(1) in its active form thiamin pyrophosphate (TPP) is an essential coenzyme that is synthesised by coupling of pyrimidine and thiazole moieties in bacteria. The previously detected thiamin-regulatory element, thi box was extended, resulting in a new, highly conserved RNA secondary structure, the THI element, which is widely distributed in eubacteria and also occurs in some archaea. The record is from RNAcentral.